ACCUUCUCAAUGAUGAC
This 17-nucleotide ribosomal RNA is filed under the name Lecanora anakeestiicola. RNAcentral's name for it is "partial 28S ribosomal RNA". The record is from RNAcentral. Lineage: Eukaryota; Fungi; Ascomycota; Lecanoromycetes; Lecanorales; Lecanoraceae.